Molecule: unclassified non-coding RNA, 361 nt
Filed under: fungal sp.
Lineage: Eukaryota; Fungi
Description: partial internal transcribed spacer region
Rfam family: Eukaryotic small subunit ribosomal RNA (bases 1-46)
Source: RNAcentral
AAGUCGUAACAAGGUUUCCGUAGGUGAACCUGCGGAAGGAUCAUUACAGAAUAUCCUCUGUCAAGGGGCCUUCAGUGCCCAAAUAAAUAAACAAACACUAUGAACCUACUUGUAGCAAGCAAGGUGGGGACCAAUAGUCCGCCACGAAGGAAAUCCUCCUAUUCAUUUUCUUUUUUUCUAUUGUAUAGGAUGGAUGGGGUUUGGAGGGGUGUGGCACGCCGGUCACUGACCGGAUCACCCGCCCCCCACGCCAUUGGUCUCCACGCUGCUACGUCCCUUCUAUUUGACACAUCUGUCGCAUGUUGGUGGCCCCAAAUAUAGAUAUAAAAUAUAACUUUCAACAACGGAUCUCUUGGCUCUC